Molecule: ribosomal RNA, 468 nt
Filed under: uncultured bacterium
Lineage: Bacteria
Description: partial 16S ribosomal RNA
Rfam family: Bacterial small subunit ribosomal RNA
Source: RNAcentral
GACGAACGCUGGCGGCGUGCUUAACACAUGCAAGUCGAACGGAAAGGCCCUGCUUUUGUGGGGUGCUCGAGUGGCGAACGGGUGAGUAACACGUGAGUAACCUGCCCUUGACUUUGGGAUAACUUCAGGAAACUGGGGCUAAUACCGGAUAGGAUCUCCUGCUGCAUGGUGGGGGUUGGAAAGUUUCGGCUGUUGGGGAUGGACUCGCGGCUUAUCAGCUUGUUGGUGGGGUAGUGGCUUACCAAGGCUUUGACGGGUAGCCGGCCUGAGAGGGUGACCGGCCACAUUGGGCCUGAGAUACGGACCAGACUCCUACGGGAGGCAGCAGUGGGGAAUAUUGCACAAUGGGCGGAAGUCUGAUGCAGCAACGCCGCGUGCGGGAUGACGGUCUUCGGGUUGUAAACCGCUUUCGCCUGUGACGAAGCGUGAGUGACGGUAAUGGGUAAAGAAGCACCGGCUAACUACGUG